Molecule: long non-coding RNA, 272 nt
Organism: Telopea speciosissima
Lineage: Eukaryota; Viridiplantae; Streptophyta; Magnoliopsida; Proteales; Proteaceae
Exons: 2
Source: RefSeq, a predicted model, not a curated record
ACAAGGAAAUAGCUUAUCUUAGGAAUGGACUCGAAUGAGUAUCUCAGUGCUUCAGAUGAAGAUGAAGAAGAACUGGAGAAGGGCAACAACAACCAUAGAACAGCAGCAAUUCAGCAACAAUUACAAAUUCUUCAAUCUCUCAUUCCCAAUUCAAACCAGGUGAUGGACGAGAUGUCUAUAACUGAAGAGGAGCUCCAUGGUAUGAUAAUGGGAACAGCAACAAGGCUUGCCUUAAUACAAUAAACAUGUAUCUAAAACCUGGCCAUGAUUGG